CAUUAGCCACACUUGGCUAUCUUGCUCCAGAGUAUGGACUGGAAGGACAAGUAUCAACAAAAUGCGAUGUUUACAGUUUUGGAAUCAUGAUUAUGGAAGUCUUUACAA
Non-coding RNA from Coffea arabica (coffee), 108 nucleotides. The record is from RefSeq and is a predicted model, not a curated record. NCBI's taxonomy places the organism in Eukaryota, Viridiplantae, Streptophyta, Magnoliopsida, Gentianales, Rubiaceae.